Molecule: ribosomal RNA, 433 nt
Filed under: uncultured bacterium
Lineage: Bacteria
Description: partial 16S ribosomal RNA
Rfam family: Bacterial small subunit ribosomal RNA
Source: RNAcentral
AACGAACGCUGGCGGCAGGCUUAACACAUGCAAGUCGAACGCACCUUUCGGGGUGAGUGGCAGACGGGUGAGUAACGCGUGGGAAUCUACCCUUCUCUACGGGAUAGCUCCGGGAAACUGGAAUUAAUACCGUAUACGUCCUGAGGGAGAAAGAUUUAUCGGGGAAGGAUGAGCCCGCGUUGGAUUAGCUAGUUGGUGGGGUAAAGGCCUACCAAGGCGACGAUCCAUAGCUGGUCUAAGAGGAUGAUCAGCCACAUUGGGACUGAGACACGGCCCAAACUCCUACGGGAGGCAGCAGUGGGGAAUAUUGGAAAAUGGGCGCAAGCAUGAACCAGCCAUGCCGCGUGAGUGAUGAAGGCCCUAGGGUUGUAAAGCUCUUUCAGUGGGGACGAUAAUGACGGUACCCACAGAAGAAGCCCCGGCUAACUUCGUG